ACUAGCAGUAAGAGUUUGAUCCUGGCUCAGAAUCAACGCUGGCGGCGCGCUUAACACAUGCAAGUCGAACGAGAAAGGGGAGCAAUCCCUGAGUAAAGUGGCGCACGGGUGAGUAACACGUGGGUAAUCUGCCUCUGGGUGGGGAAUAACUCUGGGAAACCGGAGCUAAUACCGCAUAAGCCCGCAAGGGGAAAGGCGAAAGUCGCCGAGAGAGGAGCCCGCGGUCGAUUAGCUGGUUGGUGGGGUAAAGGCCUACCAAGGCGAUGAUCGGUCGCUGGUCUGAGAGGACGAUCAGCCACACGGGGACUGAGACACGGCCCCGACUCCUACGGGAGGCAGCAGCAAGGAAUUUUCCACAAUGGGCGCAAGCCUGAUGGAGCAACGCCGCGUGCGGGAUGACGCCCUUCGGGGUGUAAACCGCUUUUCGAGGGGACGAAGGCAAUGACGGUACCCUCGGAAUAAGGAUCGGCUAACUACGUGCCAGCCGCCGCGGUAAUUC
Molecule: ribosomal RNA, 499 nt
Filed under: uncultured bacterium
Lineage: Bacteria
Description: bacterial SSU rRNA
Rfam family: Bacterial small subunit ribosomal RNA
Source: RNAcentral